Molecule: transfer RNA, 73 nt
Filed under: Dipodomys ordii (Ord's kangaroo rat)
Lineage: Eukaryota; Metazoa; Chordata; Mammalia; Rodentia; Heteromyidae
Rfam family: tRNA
About the family: Transfer RNA (tRNA) molecules are approximately 80 nucleotides in length. Their secondary structure includes four short double-helical elements and three loops (D, anti-codon, and T loops).
Source: Rfam by way of RNAcentral
GGGAAGGUGGCUCAGUGGGUAGAGCGCUUGCCUUGCAUGCACGAGGCCCUGGGUUCGAUUCCUCACCACCACA